RNAcentral lists this ribosomal RNA (494 nucleotides) under uncultured bacterium. Its description in RNAcentral is "partial 16S ribosomal RNA". It matches the Rfam family "Bacterial small subunit ribosomal RNA", at positions 28 to 507 of the family's 1533-position model. The record is from RNAcentral.
GACGAACGCUGGCGGCGUGCUUAACACAUGCAAGUCGAACGGUGAAGCGCCUUCCUUUUUGGUGGGUGUGGAUGAGUGGCGAACGGGUGGGUAACACGUGAGUAACCUGCCCCCUUCUUCUGGAUAACCGCAUGAAAGUGUGGCUAAUACGGGAUAUUCUGGGUCUGUCGCAUGAUGGGUCUGGGAAAGAUAUUGUUUCGGUGGGGGAUGGGCUCGCGGCCUAUCAGCUUGUUGGUGGGGUGAUGGCCUACCAAGGCGGUGACGGGUAGCCGGCCUGAGAGGGUGGACGGUCACACUGGGACUGAGACACGGCCCAGACUCCUACGGGAGGCAGCAGUGGGGAAUAUUGUACAAUGGGCGCAAGCCUGAUGCAGCGACGCCGCGUGAGGGAUGGAGGCCUUCGGGUUGUGAACCUCUUUCGCCAGUGAAGCAGGCCUGCCUCGUUUGUGGGUGGGUUGACGGUAGCUGGAUAAGAAGCGCCGGCUAACUACGUG